GACGAACGCUGGCGGCACGCUUAACACAUGCAAGUCGAACGCCCCCGAGACUUCGGUCUCAAUGGGGGAGUGGCGAACGGGUGAGUAACACGUGAGAAACCUGCCUUGAAGAUCGGGACAACCACUGGAAACGGUGGCUAAUACCGAAUACCUUCCUACCGUCGCAUGGCGGUUUGAAGAAAUGCUCCGGCGCUUCAAGAGGGUCUCGCGGCCUAUCAGCUUGUUGGUGAGGUAACGGCUCACCAAGGCAUCGACGGGUAGCUGGUCUGAGAGGACGAUCAGCCACACUGGGACUGAGACACGGCCCAGACUCCUACGGGAGGCAGCAGUGGGGAAUCUUGCGCAAUGGGCGAAAGCCUGACGCAGCGAUGCCGCGUGGGGGAUGAAGGCUCUCGGGUCGUAAACCCCUUUCAGCAGGGACGAAAAUGACGGUACCUGCAGAAGAAGCCCCGGCCAACUACGUGCCAGCCGCCGCCGUAACAC
This 483-nucleotide ribosomal RNA is filed under the name uncultured bacterium. RNAcentral's name for it is "bacterial SSU rRNA". It matches the Rfam family "Bacterial small subunit ribosomal RNA", at positions 28 to 526 of the family's 1533-position model. The record is from RNAcentral.